UACGUAGGUGGCGAGCGUUGUCCGGAUUUACUGGGCGUAAAGGGAGCGUAGGCGGACUUUUAAGUGAGAUGUGAAAUACUCGGGCUCAACUUGAGUGCUGCAUUUCAAACUGGAAGUCUAGAGUGCAGGAGAGGAGAAUGGAAUUCCUAGUGUAGCGGUGAAAUGCGUAGAGAUUAGGAAGCACACCAGUGGCGAAGGCGAUUCUCUGGACUGUAACUGACGCUGAGACUCGAAAGCGUGGGGAGCAAACAGG
Molecule: ribosomal RNA, 253 nt
Filed under: uncultured bacterium
Lineage: Bacteria
Description: partial 16S ribosomal RNA
Rfam family: Bacterial small subunit ribosomal RNA
Source: RNAcentral